CCUACGGGAGGAGCAGUGGGGAAUAUUGGACAAUGGGCGAAAGCCUGAUCCAGCCAUGCCGCGUGUGUGAAGAAGGCCUUCGGGUUGUAAAGCACUUUCAGUGGGGAAGAAAGCCUUGGGGCUAAUACCCUCGAGGAAGGACAUCACCCACAGAAGAAGCACCGGCUAACUCCGUGCCAGCAGCCGCGGUAAUACGGAGGGUGCGAGCGUUAAUCGGAAUUACUGGGCGUAAAGCGCGCGUAGGCGGUCUGAUAAGCCGGUUGUGAAAGCCCCGGGCUCAACCUGGGAACGGCAUCCGGAACUGUCAGGCUAGAGUGCAGGAGAGGAAGGUAGAAUUCCCGGUGUAGCGGUGAAAUGCGUAGAGAUCGGGAGGAAUACCAGUGGCGAAGGCGGCCUUCUGGACUGACACUGACGCUGAGGUGCGAAAGCGUGGGUAGCAAACAGGAUUAGAUACCCUUGUAGUC
RNAcentral lists this ribosomal RNA (464 nucleotides) under Vreelandella stevensii. Its description in RNAcentral is "partial 16S ribosomal RNA". It matches the Rfam family "Bacterial small subunit ribosomal RNA", at positions 338 to 795 of the family's 1533-position model. The record is from RNAcentral. Lineage: Bacteria; Pseudomonadati; Pseudomonadota; Gammaproteobacteria; Oceanospirillales; Halomonadaceae.